Molecule: long non-coding RNA, 509 nt
Organism: Gasterosteus aculeatus aculeatus (three-spined stickleback)
Lineage: Eukaryota; Metazoa; Chordata; Actinopteri; Perciformes; Gasterosteidae
Source: Ensembl
AGUACACCCCCCAAUCCAUAACUACUUGCAUCCGCUGACACCGCCGUGGGCUUGCUCAAGUCAUAGAAAGGAGCUCGUACAGCGGCUGUCCCACCGUUGAGAGUUCGGGGACGUAUCUUCCGAGAUAAUUUACCAUUCCCUACGGCCUGUUGAGAAGGUCAUUUACAGUAUGUCCACGGAUGACAUAUGCUGUGAGUGGGUGAGUCUUUCCUUUGUAGGUCACAGUGCUCCGGACCUGUCCUAUGCACUGCAGUUCACCGCCUGGGCUGUCGAAUGGCAUAUCUGCAGGCUCCAGUGGUCUUUUGGGGAAAAGUGAGGGGUAAGACUCUUCAUGGAUGAUGCUAACAUCCGCCCUUGUGUCAAUUUGAAGUCAAUUGGUGUAGAGCCCACCAUUACAUCACAUCACAUGUCAUUUAUCUGACGCUUUUAUCCAAAGCGACUUACAAUAAGUGCAUUUCAACCAUAAGGACACAAACUCAGAACAAGAAGAACAAGAAACAAGAAAGUGC